This is a long non-coding RNA of Musa acuminata AAA Group (dessert banana), 1596 nucleotides long. RefSeq lists it as uncharacterized. The record is from RefSeq and is a predicted model, not a curated record. Lineage: Eukaryota; Viridiplantae; Streptophyta; Magnoliopsida; Zingiberales; Musaceae. The transcript has 6 exons.
AAACCCUGGAAGCCGACAACGGUCUUCGAAACGGUCGCAAAAGGAGGGGGGCGAUGGCGGGGUUUUCUAGUCGCAGAGAGGAAGAAAGCGGCGCUGGGUUGAGUAGGGAGAGCGCGUGAAGGAUGCAGAUCUUCGUGAAGACCCUCACGGGAAAGACCAUAACCCUAGAGGUCGAGAGCAGCGACACGAUCGACAACGUCUAGGAGGGGAUUCCGCCGAAUCAGCAGAGGCUGAUCUUUCCAGGGAAGCAGCUCGAGGAAGGAACAUCCAAAAAGAGUCGACGCUGCAUCUUGUGCUGAGGCUGAGGGGAGGAAUCCUCGAGCCUUCUCUUAUGGCUCUUGCCGGGAAGUACAACCAGGAAGAGAUGAGCUGCAGAAAGUGGAACGUGUUCUUGGAUCAUCUGUUGGCCAUCAGAAGUAAGAAUGACACAAGUGAUUCCAAAGUCCCGCAGUGUUUAUAGAAGACACAGUCUCAUUCCAUAAAAUUGCUGAACAGGAUUUUCUUCAAAAGGUUUUAUUGGUCAAUUGUUGUACGGGUGUUAUGCACGGUAGCAUCCAAAGGUCUCUGUUUCAAGAUUUAACGUUGCAUGCACGUUUAGCCUAUAUGACACAGUUCGUCAGGAGACAAGAAACAAUCCGUGUGUGUGUGUGAAUUCUUUGGCAUCGUCGAGUCUUUUCCCGUGUGACUGUGUGUGUGUACACAAUAUUGUUGACCCAAGAAACAAUCCGGCUAGCUAGAUUAGUCGCAGCAGCAGAUGAUAUGCAAUAUUGUUGACCCAAGAAACAAUCUGGCCAGCUAGAUUAGUCGCAGCAGCAGAUGAUACGCAAUAUUGUUGACCCAAGAAAAAAUCUGGCUAGCUAGAUUAGUCGCAGCAGAUGUUACGCAAUAUUGUUGACCCAAGAAACAAUCGACACUCAUGACCCAGUGGUCUCCGAAGGGGAAAGAGUAACACAAUUCUUCCACAAAAGGCUCGUGCCAGAGAGACGUACUUGCAACACCAGCUUCGAUCUUCCGACCGGUGGCAACAUCGGUCGUGAAUGCUGUAGCAAUUGUGCUCUCUCAUCAUUGCCAUAGAUUGCACUUCCAAAAGCAGAAAUGGCACUGCAGGGCUUCGACCGCAGAGCAUAGAUCCCUUGGGGAACAAAAUCAUGUCGCCUCUUCAUACUGUCCAUGAAUCCGACUUCGAGAUAGCCUUUGACGAUGAAUGAUAGCUCAGGUGAGCAGGGUUGGUGUAAAGAAUUCUGCCGAGACGCUUUGCCCCGAGAAUUCUGCCAUGGUGGCUUCACACACUCGAAUGCCAGCAACGGUAGUGAAUCGGCGGCUGCCGCUGACAGAAGUGGUGCUUUCCGGAAGGAUGAGAUCAGUCUGAGAUGAUGUUGGUGUCACCUGUGAAGGCAAAACAUUGUAAGAAUAUUUAGAUGAUCAAGACUAGCAGAGUUGACAGGUCAACAUGCACUGAUAAAUCAGACAAACUAUGCAUUGCAGUCUGUGCUAAUGUACUUUUAAAACCCAUAAUGCUAGAAUUUAGAUUCCCUUCUAAUGUAGUAAAUAUAUCAGACAUUUCAGCAAAUAAAAUGUUUGUUUAAUCUUGCUUUA